Molecule: non-coding RNA, 96 nt
Organism: Xylaria bambusicola
Lineage: Eukaryota; Fungi; Ascomycota; Sordariomycetes; Xylariales; Xylariaceae
Source: the annotation of a RefSeq genome assembly
CUCCUGAUAGCUCAGUUGGUAGAGCGAUGGACUGUAAUUGAAAUUCGCAUUCGGAUAUAAAUCCACAGGUCGCGUGUUCGACUCACGCUCGGGAGA